GUGUUAGUCACUUGUUCUUUUUCCAUAUGUGUACGCCCAUAAGACUUUGCAAAUUAUUUUUGUUUCAGAAAGAAGCAAGAGAUGCCAGUGCAUCGACUGAAGCUAAUGGCAGCGACUCAGAAGAAACUUAUGAGCCUUCUGAUGGAGAUACAACUCACGUACCUAGCACAAGUGUACGUACAUUUUUGUCACUAUGUUCUGUGUACAUAUAUAUUGUUUCAUACAUUAGUAGAAAGUUUCUUUCCGAUGAUAAAUUCUACAGGUUGAGGCGGCAGGAGAAUCCAAAUUAGUGACAGGGAUGGAAGUUGAAAUACCUGAGAAGACUCACAGUGAUCCCCCGUCACCAUUUCAAGUAGUUAACAAUGUAAGCUAACUCUUGCAACAAAUAAAAUGUACUAUUUACUGUUCAAAUGUAUAAAAUUUAUAUUAUGCAGGUCAUACGGGAGUUGGAUACCAAAGCCGUUGGUGAUUUGGCUGCAGCUACUGAUGUGGAGGUAACAAUUUGUGUGUUUCAAUUCCUAUUUUCGGAAUAGCAUGCAUAGGAUUAUAUGUGUACAUUAUAUAGAUUUGUGUACGUUAACUUGCACAGGUAGUCAUGGAAGAGCCGGGUAUUGUCGAGGGGUCUGUAGGAACUGAGGAUCCUAACCCAGGGUCAGAUGAAGCAGACAAGACCGAUAUUCCUAAAAAUAAUGUAUGUACCUAUUUUAAACAUAGAAAAACGUAUGAAACUGUUGUUGACAAUCAUAUUUGUUAAUAGGAUGAAUCAGACAAUGCUGCUGCUGUCGAAGCAAAAGAAGAAAAAAAAUCGUCCCCAAAGGUCCCAAAAAAAGUGAAGAAGCAACUUGUCUAUGAACAGGAUGAUGCACAUCCUCAUGGUUUUAAGGCAAAAACAGUCUUGGUGCCCGAUGUACCAACUCAACAGAUAGAGGUUGUUAUCAGGGCUGGAAAUGUCUCAUACAACCCCCUGGACAUGGUUGACCCUUCAAAAGUAGAGGAAUUCAGCAAUAUCAUUAAAGGACCCUCUAUGUAAGUACAUUAUAUUAAA
This 1045-nucleotide small RNA is filed under the name Arabidopsis thaliana (thale cress). RNAcentral describes it as "ATSL083910". Lineage: Eukaryota; Viridiplantae; Streptophyta; Magnoliopsida; Brassicales; Brassicaceae. The record is from RNAcentral.